RNAcentral lists this transfer RNA (61 nucleotides) under Cacoplistes rogenhoferi. RNAcentral's name for it is "tRNA-Cys". Lineage: Eukaryota; Metazoa; Arthropoda; Insecta; Orthoptera; Phalangopsidae. The record is from RNAcentral.
GGCUUUAUAUUCAAUGAUGAUUUUAGAUUGCAAAUCUAAAGGUGUAAGUUUACUAAGGCUU